AAAACCUGCCUUAAGGAUGGGGAUAACAGACGGAAACGACUGCUAAUACCGAAUACGUUCUAAGCAUCGCAUGAUGCAUAGAAGAAAGGGUGGCCUCUACAAGAAAGCUAUCGCCUUAAGAGGGGUUUGCGACUGAUUAGGUAGUUGGUGAGGUAACGGCUCACCAAGCCGACGAUCAGUAGCCGGUCUGAGAGGAUGAACGGCCACACUGGAACUGAGACACGGUCCAG
This 230-nucleotide ribosomal RNA is filed under the name uncultured bacterium. RNAcentral describes it as "partial 16S ribosomal RNA". It matches the Rfam family "Bacterial small subunit ribosomal RNA", at positions 121 to 334 of the family's 1533-position model. The record is from RNAcentral.